Non-coding RNA from Panagrellus redivivus, 58 nucleotides. NCBI's taxonomy places the organism in Eukaryota, Metazoa, Nematoda, Chromadorea, Rhabditida, Panagrolaimidae. The record is from Rfam.
AAUUUGUCCUUGGUCACAUUACUGUUUUUUGUUAUCUGUAAUUUGCCGAGGACGAAAU